Molecule: ribosomal RNA, 1540 nt
Filed under: Klebsiella pneumoniae
Lineage: Bacteria; Pseudomonadati; Pseudomonadota; Gammaproteobacteria; Enterobacterales; Enterobacteriaceae
Description: bacterial SSU rRNA
Rfam family: Bacterial small subunit ribosomal RNA
Source: RNAcentral
AAAUUGAAGAGUUUGAUCAUGGCUCAGAUUGAACGCUGGCGGCAGGCCUAACACAUGCAAGUCGAGCGGUAGCACAGAGAGCUUGCUCUCGGGUGACGAGCGGCGGACGGGUGAGUAAUGUCUGGGAAACUGCCUGAUGGAGGGGGAUAACUACUGGAAACGGUAGCUAAUACCGCAUAAUGUCGCAAGACCAAAGUGGGGGACCUUCGGGCCUCAUGCCAUCAGAUGUGCCCAGAUGGGAUUAGCUAGUAGGUGGGGUAAUGGCUCACCUAGGCGACGAUCCCUAGCUGGUCUGAGAGGAUGACCAGCCACACUGGAACUGAGACACGGUCCAGACUCCUACGGGAGGCAGCAGUGGGGAAUAUUGCACAAUGGGCGCAAGCCUGAUGCAGCCAUGCCGCGUGUGUGAAGAAGGCCUUCGGGUUGUAAAGCACUUUCAGCGGGGAGGAAGGCGAUAAGGUUAAUAACCUUGGCGAUUGACGUUACCCGCAGAAGAAGCACCGGCUAACUCCGUGCCAGCAGCCGCGGUAAUACGGAGGGUGCAAGCGUUAAUCGGAAUUACUGGGCGUAAAGCGCAUGCAGGCGGUCUGUCAAGUCGGAUGUGAAAUCCCCGGGCUCAACCUGGGAACUGCAUUCGAAACUGGCAGGCUAGAGUCUUGUAGAGGGGGGUAGAAUUCCAGGUGUAGCGGUGAAAUGCGUAGAGAUCUGGAGGAAUACCGGUGGCGAAGGCGGCCCCCUGGACAAAGACUGACGCUCAGGUGCGAAAGCGUGGGGAGCAAACAGGAUUAGAUACCCUGGUAGUCCACGCCGUAAACGAUGUCGAUUUGGAGGUUGUGCCCUUGAGGCGUGGCUUCCGGAGCUAACGCGUUAAAUCGACCGCCUGGGGAGUACGGCCGCAAGGUUAAAACUCAAAUGAAUUGACGGGGGCCCGCACAAGCGGUGGAGCAUGUGGUUUAAUUCGAUGCAACGCGAAGAACCUUACCUGGUCUUGACAUCCACAGAACUUAGCAGAGAUGCUUUGGUGCCUUCGGGAACUGUGAGACAGGUGCUGCAUGGCUGUCGUCAGCUCGUGUUGUGAAAUGUUGGGUUAAGUCCCGCAACGAGCGCAACCCUUAUCCUUUGUUGCCAGCGGUUAGGCCGGGAACUCAAAGGAGACUGCCAGUGAUAAACUGGAGGAAGGUGGGGAUGACGUCAAGUCAUCAUGGCCCUUACGACCAGGGCUACACACGUGCUACAAUGGCAUAUACAAAGAGAAGCGACCUCGCGAGAGCAAGCGGACCUCAUAAAGUAUGUCGUAGUCCGGAUUGGAGUCUGCAACUCGACUCCAUGAAGUCGGAAUCGCUAGUAAUCGUAGAUCAGAAUGCUACGGUGAAUACGUUCCCGGGCCUUGUACACACCGCCCGUCACACCAUGGGAGUGGGUUGCAAAAGAAGUAGGUAGCUUAACCUUCGGGAGGGCGCUUACCACUUUGUGAUUCAUGACUGGGGUGAAGUCGUAACAAGGUAACCGUAGGGGAACCUGCGGUUGGAUCACCUCCUUA